AAGGGAGAGAUUAAAAUCCAGUGUACUGGAAAAUGCCUUCUACGAGUGUGAUGUCGUUGUCUGUUCGAAUUACGUUAAGAUUGCAACUUAGGGUAACAAAAAAAUCCGGUAUUCUUAUGAAAGAUGAACUAUUUUACUGUUUAUCAGACUCAGCUCAGUCGGACCAGUAUUGCAGUGACUGUAAAGUCGUGACGUAAAAUACACAUUGUGGAAAACGUAACAUAUUUAAUUCAAGCCAGAAAAUCGAUAAUACAGCACAAGGCUGUGCAAAGGACUAUCUGCACUGCGUCCGUCGCGAGAACUGAAGAUUGAAACCCGAGUGACUGGUCUUAUAGGAAAUUGUGUAUUUUCACAAAUCACUUUAGUUUAGCUUGAAUCUUGUCAAGAAACCAAACAUGAAAUGGACAUGGAAGAACUGCGAAAGUUGGAGGAGCAACCACGUGGGACUCUGCUCCGACCAUGUUUCAUGCGGUACAAUACUGCUUCUUUACUGCUCUGAAAUUUUAUUAGCUGAAUAAAGUCGACAAUACUGCAUUUUUAUCAUACAUUGUAUAUAAACAUAUCUUGUUAUGGCCUAUAAAUAUAAGCACCCAUUUUUAACAAUGUGGUACCUCCCUUCCCUUGCUACAGAUUUGGGAUACUUUAAAUUGUUGCUAAUAUACCGUAAAGGCACAUUACAUUUUUGUACCACAUAGAUGUUUAAAACAUCAAUAUUUUUGUAUGUUGUCUGAGAAGUUCACAUUAUUAAAAGUGGAGGCAAUAUCCCCAUGAGUAAAAUGUGGUUUAGCAAUUAACCUUUCGAUCAUCAUCUUCGGUGCCUAUGACUGGUGGCGUGCAUCAAUCCAAUCUGUGUCUUGUAACUGGUGGCGUGCAUCAAUCCAAUCUGUGUCUUGUAACUGGUGGCGUGCAUCAAUCCAAUCUGUGUCUUGUAACUGGUGGCGUGCAUCAA
Limulus polyphemus (Atlantic horseshoe crab) is the source of this 949-nucleotide long non-coding RNA. RefSeq lists it as uncharacterized. NCBI's taxonomy places the organism in Eukaryota, Metazoa, Arthropoda, Merostomata, Xiphosura, Limulidae. The record is from RefSeq and is a predicted model, not a curated record. The transcript has 3 exons.